AGGCUCUAUUUCCUGGGAGGUGGGCCUAGCCUACCCCACUUCCCCUCAGCAGAGCCUAGAGUAAAGGGGCCAGGCCUCCUCCCUAUGGGAAAGAGAGGGGUCUGAAGAAGGGGCCUCACUCAGCAGACCGGCCUGGCUUCACAGUU
RNAcentral lists this small nucleolar RNA (146 nucleotides) under Mus pahari (shrew mouse). RNAcentral's name for it is "predicted gene, 23386 (MGP_PahariEiJ_G0032824.1)". It matches the Rfam family "Small Cajal body specific RNA 21". From Rfam's summary of the family: scaRNAs are a specific class of small nuclear RNAs which localise to the Cajal bodies and guide the modification of RNA polymerase II transcribed spliceosomal RNAs U1, U2, U4, U5 and U12. ACA68 (SCARNA21) is a member of the H/ACA class of snoRNAs that guide the sites of modification of uridines to pseudouridines. The record is from RNAcentral. Lineage: Eukaryota; Metazoa; Chordata; Mammalia; Rodentia; Muridae.